This 473-nucleotide ribosomal RNA is filed under the name Escherichia coli. RNAcentral's name for it is "bacterial SSU rRNA". It matches the Rfam family "Bacterial small subunit ribosomal RNA", at positions 1 to 470 of the family's 1533-position model. Lineage: Bacteria; Pseudomonadati; Pseudomonadota; Gammaproteobacteria; Enterobacterales; Enterobacteriaceae. The record is from RNAcentral.
AAAUUGAAGAGUUUGAUCAUGGCUCAGAUUGAACGCUGGCGGCAGGCCUAACACAUGCAAGUCGAACGGUAACAGGAAGCAGCUUGCUGCUUCGCUGACGAGUGGCGGACGGGUGAGUAAUGUCUGGGAAAUUGCCUGAUGGAGGGGGAUAACUACUGGAAACGGUAGCUAAUACCGCAUAAUGUCGCAAGACCAAAGAGGGGGACCUUCGGGCCUCUUGCCAUCGGAUGUGCCCAGAUGGGAUUAGCUUGUUGGUGGGGUAACGGCUCACCAAGGCGACGAUCCCUAGCUGGUCUGAGAGGAUGACCAGCCACACUGGAACUGAGACACGGUCCAGACUCCUACGGGAGGCAGCAGUGGGGAAUAUUGCACAAUGGGCGCAAGCCUGAUGCAGCCAUGCCGCGUGUAUGAAGAAGGCCUUCGGGUUGUAAAGUACUUUCAGCGGGGAGGAAGGGAGUAAAGUUAAUACCUUU